GUGUCAGCCGCCGCGGUAAGACGAACCGUCCGAACGUUAUUCGGUAUCACUGGGCUUAAAGAGUUCGUAGGCGGCCAGAUAGGUCAGGUGUGAAAUCCCACAGCUCAACUGUGGAACUGCGCUUGAAACCAUCUGGCUUGAGGGAGAUAGAGGUGAGCGGAACUGAUGGUGGAGCGGUGAAAUGCGUUGAUAUCAUCAGGAACACCGGUGGCGAAAGCGGCUCACUGGGUCUCUUCUGACGCUGAGGAACGAAAGCUAGGGGAGCGAACGGGAUUAGAUACCCCGGUAGUCCUAGCCGUAAACGAUGAGCACUAGUCCGUGGGGACUCUCACAUCCUCUCGGACGUAGCGAAAGUGUCAAGUGCUCCGCCUGGGGAGUAUGGUCGCAAGGCUGAAACUCAAAUGAAUUGACGGGG
RNAcentral lists this ribosomal RNA (415 nucleotides) under uncultured prokaryote. RNAcentral's name for it is "bacterial SSU rRNA". It matches the Rfam family "Bacterial small subunit ribosomal RNA", at positions 505 to 918 of the family's 1533-position model. The record is from RNAcentral.